CGGGUACAACGAGUCGCAAGACCGCGAGGUUUAGCAAAUCUCUUAAAGCCGUUCUCAGUUCGGAUUGUAGGCUGCAACUCGCCUACAUGAAGUCGGAAUCGCUAGUAAUCGCGGAUCAGCAUGCCGCGGUGAAUACGUUCCCGGGCCUUGUACACACCGCCCGUCACACCAUGGGAGCCGGUAAUACCCGAAGUCAGUAGUCCAACCUCGUGAGGACGCUGCCGAAGGUAGGAUUGGCGACUGGGGUGAAGUCGUAACAAGGUAAC
RNAcentral lists this ribosomal RNA (266 nucleotides) under uncultured bacterium. RNAcentral describes it as "partial 16S ribosomal RNA". It matches the Rfam family "Bacterial small subunit ribosomal RNA", at positions 1234 to 1500 of the family's 1533-position model. The record is from RNAcentral.